This 277-nucleotide unclassified non-coding RNA is filed under the name Hevea brasiliensis (rubber tree). The record is from RNAcentral. Lineage: Eukaryota; Viridiplantae; Streptophyta; Magnoliopsida; Malpighiales; Euphorbiaceae.
ACUGUGGGAGGCAAUUGGACGGGUGAUGUCAGAUGAAGCUAGAGCGAUGUAUAACGGAGGGAUGGCUAGAGUCACAUAUUGGAGCCCAAACGUCAAUAUUUUUAGAGACCCAAGAUGGGGCCGGGGACAGGAGACUCCCGGUGAAGAUCCUUUAGUGGUAGGUACAUAUGCAUCUAGAUACGUUAGGGGUCUACAAGAAAACCAAGGUGACCGUUUGAAGGUUGCUGCUUGCUGUAAGCACUUCACUGCCUAUGACCUCGAUAAUUGGAAUGGAGUG